UUCAGUGAACACACAAGUGUGCCUGCCAAUUCCCUUGGUUUUAACUCUGCUCCAGCAGGGUCUGUUCUUUUCCUCUGCAUUGAAAGGAGUUUUUAUCCUUCUAAAUAUAUUCAGGAAGUCUGCAUAUGA
Small nucleolar RNA from Oryctolagus cuniculus (rabbit), 129 nucleotides. NCBI's taxonomy places the organism in Eukaryota, Metazoa, Chordata, Mammalia, Lagomorpha, Leporidae. The record is from Ensembl.